RNAcentral lists this unclassified non-coding RNA (377 nucleotides) under uncultured fungus. RNAcentral's name for it is "partial contains 5.8S ribosomal RNA and internal transcribed spacer 2". The stretch from base 1 to 133 matches the Rfam family "5.8S ribosomal RNA", at positions 22 to 154 of the family's 154-position model. Lineage: Eukaryota; Fungi. The record is from RNAcentral.
UGGCUCUCGCAUCGAUGAAGAACGCAGCGAAAUGCGAUAAGUAAUGUGAAUUGCAGAAUUCAGUGAAUCAUCGAAUCUUUGAACGCACCUUGCACCCUUUGGUAUUCCGAGGGGUACACCCGUUUGAGUGUCAUUGUAAUAUCACUCCUAGACUUUGUUGUCGUGGAUGUGGACUUGGACUCUGUCGUGCCCCAGCGACUGGUCUUAAACAGAUGAGCGCACCCUGCCAUUGCAGCGCCUUCAGUGUGAUAAGCAUCUUCACUGGAACAAGUUACCCCUAGAGGGACACGCUUGUAUUGCAGGCUCUGUGCUGACAAACCGUUCGCAUGAACAACCUUUGACAAUUUGACCUCAAAUCGGGUGGGACUACCCGCUGA